This 236-nucleotide ribosomal RNA is filed under the name uncultured bacterium. Its description in RNAcentral is "partial 16S ribosomal RNA". It matches the Rfam family "Bacterial small subunit ribosomal RNA", at positions 118 to 347 of the family's 1533-position model. The record is from RNAcentral.
UGGAUAUCUGCCUUUUGGUUCGGGAUAACCCUGGGAAACUAGGGCUAAUACCGAAUGGUUCCUACGGGAUAAAGAUUUAUCGCCAAAAGAUGAGUCCGCGUCCGAUUAGCUAGUUGGUGGGAUAAUGGCUCACCAAGGCUACGAUCAGUAGCUGGUCUGAGAGGAUGAUCAGCCACAGUUGGGACUGAGACACCGGACCCAAACUCCGUACGGGAGCAGCGAGGUAGGGGAAUUAG